RNAcentral lists this ribosomal RNA (253 nucleotides) under uncultured bacterium. RNAcentral describes it as "partial 16S ribosomal RNA". It matches the Rfam family "Bacterial small subunit ribosomal RNA", at positions 524 to 776 of the family's 1533-position model. The record is from RNAcentral.
UACAUGGGGUGCAAACGUUGCUCGGAAUUAUUGGGCGUAAAGCGCGCGUAGGCGGUUACUUAAGUCGGAUGUGAAAGCCCUCGGCUUAACUGAGGAAGUGCACCCGAAACUGAGUAGCUAGAGUACGAAAGAGGGUCGCGGAAUUCCCGGUGUAGAGGUGAAAUUCGUAGAUGUCGGGAGGAACACCGGUGGCGAAGGCGGCGACCUGGGUCGAGACUGACGCUGAGGCGCGAAAGCGUGGGGAGCAAACAGG